GGAACUUUUUGUGCCUUCUGGGACACUAUACAUAGGAACAGUGGACUCCUGAGAAAACACAUCCACUCAGGAUCUUCAAGAAUUUAUCUAUUUUUGCCAAAUGAGUCUUGGUUCAAGCAAUAGAGACAUUCUAUUGAGGCCACAGCCAUUGUUCGUCAACUGAGAGGUUUUACUCCAGAUUGCCAAUUUCUCUAAACUUUUCUCACGUAUCAACUAGUCAUAAUUUGCAAGGCUCCUCCUUUAGAGCUCCCAAAAACUCUCCUGCUUCUUAGAUCCUUUCAUUGCUGAUCCACAAUGUGUGUUUUCUUUCAAAUACUAAAAGAUUUUCUGAUUAGGUUUUAAAAUACCUUUCAAAGCUUUAUGUCACCAAUUCAUGAAGGGGUAAGCAUAAUCCACCCAAGAAUAUUUCGUUUUCUUUAAUUAUGUAUUUUUCCCCAGUUUUAAAGAAUAUAUUUGAAGAAUCAGAGUUUAUGAUAGAAUACUCAAGAGAUAGCUUCUGGGCUUCUCUCCCCAUUUGUUUGUGGUGACAUGUUAAAUCUUAAACUAAUGGAGACACAUAGAGGGAAAUGCACACACACACACACACACACACAGAAAGAGAGAGAGAGAGAGAGAGAGAGAA
This is a long non-coding RNA of Sapajus apella (tufted capuchin), 622 nucleotides long. RefSeq lists it as uncharacterized. The record is from RefSeq and is a predicted model, not a curated record. NCBI's taxonomy places the organism in Eukaryota, Metazoa, Chordata, Mammalia, Primates, Cebidae. The transcript has 2 exons.